UACGGAGGGUGCAAGCGUUAUCCGGAUUCACUGGGUUUAAAGGGUGCGUAGGUGGGCAGGUAAGUCAGUGGUGAAAUCUCUGGGCUUAACCCGGAAACUGCCGUUGAUACUAUCUGUCUUGAAUGUAGUGGAGGUGAGCGGAAUAUGUCAUGUAGCGGUGAAAUGCUUAGAUAUGACAUAGAGCAUCGAUUGCGAGGGCAGCUCGCUACACUAUGAUUGACACUGAGGCACGAAAGCGUGGGGAUCAAACAGG
Molecule: ribosomal RNA, 253 nt
Filed under: uncultured bacterium
Lineage: Bacteria
Description: partial 16S ribosomal RNA
Rfam family: Bacterial small subunit ribosomal RNA
Source: RNAcentral